UACGAAGGGUGCUAGCGUUGCUCGGAAUCACUGGGCGUAAAGCGCACGUAGGCGGAUUGCUAAGUCAGGGGUGAAAUCCUGGAGCUCAACUCCAGAACUGCCUUUGAUACUGGCGACCUUGAGUCCGGGAGAGGUGAGUGGAACUGCGAGUGUAGAGGUGAAAUUCGUAGAUAUUCGCAAGAACACCAGUGGCGAAGGCGGCUCACUGGCCCGGUACUGACGCUGAGGUGCGAAAGCGUGGGGAGCAAACAGG
This 253-nucleotide ribosomal RNA is filed under the name uncultured bacterium. Its description in RNAcentral is "partial 16S ribosomal RNA". It matches the Rfam family "Bacterial small subunit ribosomal RNA", at positions 524 to 776 of the family's 1533-position model. The record is from RNAcentral.